CGGCCGCGUCGACAUGAACGCUGGCGGCGUGCCUAAUACAUGCAAGUCGAGCGAACAGACGAGGAGCUUGCUCCUCUGACGUUAGCGGCGGACGGGUGAGUAACACGUGGAUAACCUACCUAUAAGACUGGGAUAACUUCGGGAAACCGGAGCUAAUACCGGAUAAUAUAUUGAACCGCAUGGUUCAAUAGUGAAAGACGGUUUUGCUGUCACUUAUAGAUGGAUCCGCGCCGCAUUAGCUAGUAGGUGAGGUAAUGGCUCACCUAGGCGACGAU
RNAcentral lists this ribosomal RNA (275 nucleotides) under uncultured bacterium. Its description in RNAcentral is "partial 16S ribosomal RNA". It matches the Rfam family "Bacterial small subunit ribosomal RNA", at positions 29 to 280 of the family's 1533-position model. The record is from RNAcentral.